GUCCAUCAUGGGGGUGAAGCCAUUGGUCAAAGUUGACCCACAGUCAGGAAAGAAAAGCGUAUUUUAUAUUGAAAGCUGAUCCUCCACCCCCACCCUGCCAUUACCAGUAGCUAUCAGCUGCGGCAGUCCACUGAAAGAGGAGAACAGGAUUUCUAAAAGGCAAGUUUCCCUGACUGUGCCUGUUGAAGCUCAUCUAUCCCAGAAAGACACUAAGGAGGCAGUUAGCUUUUCAAAAACCACUUUCAAGCACCUACAAAGACAGCCUAUUUCCCAAGGAAGAAGUAUCCUAGUUAUGAUGGGCCACUUUGUCCUAAGUAUGAGAACUGAGCUGGGAAGAAGUGGAAAGGCUCCAUCUACUCAUGCUAUACCCGUGAC
Molecule: long non-coding RNA, 375 nt
Organism: Mastomys coucha (southern multimammate mouse)
Lineage: Eukaryota; Metazoa; Chordata; Mammalia; Rodentia; Muridae
Exons: 4
Source: RefSeq, a predicted model, not a curated record